Non-coding RNA from Pelobates cultripes (western spadefoot toad), 562 nucleotides. NCBI's taxonomy places the organism in Eukaryota, Metazoa, Chordata, Amphibia, Anura, Pelobatidae. The record is from the annotation of a GenBank genome assembly.
GUAAAAUAAUUUUAUUUAUUUUGGCUUAUGUAUAAAAAACAUUAACAAUGGUAAACAUUUUUAUGUACAUUACAAAAAUAUAGGAAUGAUAAUAACAGAAAGCAUAAUAAAAUAUAUAAUCUAUACUAUUUAAUAGCUAAUAUCAUUUAUGGUUAUAUAGGGAAUUGUGGAUUUGGUGUCUUUGAGUCCACUCUUCUAGAUCCCGAUUUAAAAAAAUAAAAUACCAUGGAAUGUAGAGCCUGGGCUUUUAUUGGCAAGAUAAGAGUUAGCCUCUUAAAAUUGAUUGGUGAGUUUAUGUGCUGUAUUCUUUUUUUCUAAAUACACAGUUGCAGUGCAUGCAUUGGCAGGAUAUCCAAUGUCUGCAGUCUCUAUGGAAAUCAGAAAAUAUAGGUUUCCCUGCUCCACACCUUCAGCAUGAUCAGUGAUUCUGAAAAUCCUAAAAAGGAGGAGGUAUGUGUAUUAUAUUUGUGUCAUUUCAAUAUGGCCUCGAUUUAAUAAUGUUGAAUAAGCUUUCCAAAUGAUUUCGUAUUUUCUGGCUACACUUGUUGAUGAUGAACUAUUA